Molecule: ribosomal RNA, 373 nt
Filed under: uncultured bacterium
Lineage: Bacteria
Description: bacterial SSU rRNA
Rfam family: Bacterial small subunit ribosomal RNA
Source: RNAcentral
CACUUUCAGUAGGGAGGAAGGUAGUGUAGUUAACACCUGCAUUAUUUGACGUUACCUACAGAAGAAGCACCGGCUAACUCCGUGCCAGCAGCCGCGGUAAUACGGAGGGUGCGAGCGUUAAUCGGAAUUACUGGGCGUAAAGCGCAUGCAGGCGGCCUGUUAAGUCAGAUGUGAAAGACCCGGGGCGUUAACCUCGGAAUUGCAUUUGAAACUGGCAGGCUAGAGUCUUGUAGAGGGGGGUAGGAAUUUCAGGUGUAGCGGUGAAAUGCGUAGAGAUCUGAAGGAAUACCAGUGGCGAAGGCGGCCCCCUGGACAAAGACUGACGCUCAGAUGCGAAAGCGUGGGGAGCAAACAGGAUUAGAUACCCUGGUAG